AGUGAACGCUGGCGGUAGGCCUAACACAUGCAAGUCGAACGGCAGCACAGUAAGAGCUUGCUCUUACGGGUGGCGAGUGGCGGACGGGUGAGGAAUAUAACGGAAUCUACUUUUUCGUGGGGGAUAACGUAGGGAAACUUACGCUAAUACCGCAUACGACCUACGGGUGAAAGCAGGGGAUCUUCGGACCUUGCGCGAUUGAAUGAGCCGAUGUCGGAUUAGCUAGUUGGCGGGGUAAAGGCCCACCAAGGCGACGAUCCGUAGCUGGUCUGAGAGGAUGGUCAGCGACAAGGGAACUGAGCCACGGACCAGGCUCCUACGAGAGGCAGCAGAGUGGAAUAUGUGACAAUAGGCGCAAGCCUGAUCCAACCAGACCGCGUGGGUAGAGGAGACGUUCGGGUUGUAAAGACCUUUUGUUGGGAAAAAAAAGCAUCAGGUUAAUACCCCGCUAUUCUGACGGUACCCAAAGAAUAAGCACCGGCUAACUUCGUG
Molecule: ribosomal RNA, 492 nt
Filed under: uncultured bacterium
Lineage: Bacteria
Description: partial 16S ribosomal RNA
Rfam family: Bacterial small subunit ribosomal RNA
Source: RNAcentral